RNAcentral lists this ribosomal RNA (497 nucleotides) under uncultured bacterium. Its description in RNAcentral is "partial 16S ribosomal RNA". It matches the Rfam family "Bacterial small subunit ribosomal RNA", at positions 28 to 507 of the family's 1533-position model. The record is from RNAcentral.
GAUGAACGCUGGCGGCGUGCCUAAUACAUGCAAGUCGAGCGAACAGACGAGGAGCUUGCUCCUCUGACGUUAGCGGCGGACGGGUGAGUAACACGUGGAUAACCUACCUAUAAGACUGGGAUAACUUCGGGAAACCGGAGCUAAUACCGGAUAAUAUAUUGAACCGCAUGGUUCAAUAGUGAAAGACGGUUUUGCUGUCACUUAUAGAUGGAUCCGCUCCGGAUUAGCUAGUUGGUAAGGUAACGGCUUACCAAGGCAACGAUGCGUAGCCGACCUGAGAGGGUGAUCAGCCACACUGGAACUGAGACACGGUCCAGACUCCUACGGGAGGCAGCAGUAGGGAAUCUUCCGCAAUGGGCGAAAGCCUGACGGAGCAACGCCGCGUGAGUGAUGAAGGUCUUCGGAUCGUAAAACUCUGUUAUUAGGGAAGAACAAAUGUGUAAGUAACUAUGCACGUCUUGACGGUACCUAAUCAGAAAGCCACGGCUAACUACGUG